RNAcentral lists this ribosomal RNA (536 nucleotides) under uncultured bacterium. Its description in RNAcentral is "bacterial SSU rRNA". It matches the Rfam family "Bacterial small subunit ribosomal RNA", at positions 335 to 865 of the family's 1533-position model. The record is from RNAcentral.
CACCUACGGGUGGCAGCAGUGGGGAAUUUUGGACAAUGGGCGCAAGCCUGAUCCAGCAAUGCCGCGUGCAGGAUGAAGGCCUUCGGGUUGUAAACUGCUUUUGUACGGAACGAAACGGCUUCUUCUAAUACAGGAGGCUAAUGACGGUACCGUAAGAAUAAGCACCGGCUAACUACGUGCCAGCAGCCGCGGUAAUACGUAGGGUGCGAGCGUUAAUCGGAAUUACUGGGCGUAAAGCGUGCGCAGGCGGUUAUGUAAGACAGAUGUGAAAUCCCCGGGCUCAACCUGGGACCUGCAUUUGUGACUGCAUAGCUGGAGUACGGUAGAGGGGGAUGGAAUUCCGCGUGUAGCAGUGAAAUGCGUAGAUAUGCGGAGGAACACCGAUGGCGAAGGCAAUCCCCUGGACCUGUACUGACGCUCAUGCACGAAAGCGUGGGGAGCAAACAGGAUUAGAUACCCUGGUAGUCCACGCCCUAAACGAUGUCAACUGGUUGUUGGGUCUUCACUGACUCAGUAACGAAGCUAACGCGUGAAGU